AUAAGAACGUAUUGUUUAAAAAUUAAAGUGUUGUUUAAUAAUUACAGUAAAAAGAAAACAAUUAAAUGCGGACAAUAGGUAGAAGACAUGUUGUUUGAGAGGGCUGGCUACAUGGCAGAAUAUUGCAAUUGUUAUAAUGAAAA
Octopus sinensis (East Asian common octopus) is the source of this 143-nucleotide long non-coding RNA. RefSeq lists it as uncharacterized. NCBI's taxonomy places the organism in Eukaryota, Metazoa, Mollusca, Cephalopoda, Octopoda, Octopodidae. The transcript has 4 exons. The record is from RefSeq and is a predicted model, not a curated record.